This 762-nucleotide ribosomal RNA is filed under the name uncultured archaeon. RNAcentral describes it as "partial 16S ribosomal RNA". The record is from RNAcentral.
UUUACGCUCCACCCGUUGUGGUGCUCCCCCGCCAAUUCCUUUAAAUAUCAGCCUUGCGGCCGUACUUCCCAGGUGGCUCGCUUCACGGCUUCCCUACGGCACCGACAACGGUCGCACCGUGGCCGACACCUAGCGAGUAUCGUUUACGGCUAGGACUACCCGGGUAUCUAAUCCGGUUCGUGCCCCUAGCUUUCGUCCCUUGCCGUCAGGUCCGUUCUGGUGAGACGCCUUCGCCACUGGUGGUCCUUCAAGGAUUACAAGAUUUCACCCCUACCCCUGAAGUACCUCUCACCUCUCCCGGCCUCGAGCCAGACAGUAUCUCCUGAAAGCCUGACAGUUAAGCUGCCAGAUUUCUCAAGAGACUUAUCCGGCCGGCUACAGACCCUUUAGACCCAAUAAUAACGGUUACCACUCGAGCCGCCGGUGUUACCGCGGCGGCUGGCACCGGUCUUGCCCGGCCCUUGCUAUGAAAUGCUUUUUAGGCAUCUCGACAGCCAGAUUUGUAACCUGGCACUCGAGGUUCCCUUAUCGCUGUUGCCAGCAUUGUAAAGUUUUCGCGCCUGCUGCACCCCGUAGGGCCUGGAUUCGUGUCUCAGAAUCCAUCUCCGGGCUCUUGCUCUCACAACCCGUACCCGUCGUAGGCUAGUAGGUACGCUACACCCACUACUACCUGAUAGGCCGCAGACCCAUCCUUAGGCGCCGGAGCUUUAAAUCUCGAUGCAUUCCAGCAAUCGAGACCUAUCGGGUAUUAUACCCAGUUUC